AUUGAACGCUGGCGGCAUGCCUUACACAUGCAAGUCGAACGGCAGCACGGGAGCAAUCCUGGUGGCGAGUGGCGAACGGGUGAGUAAUAUAUCGGAACAUACCCUAGAGUGGGGAUAACGUAGCGAAAGUUACGCUAAAACCGUAUACGAUCUAUGGAUGAAAGCGGGGGAUCGCAAGACCUCGCGCGAUUGGAGCGGCCGAUAUCAGAUUAGGUAGUUGGUGAGGUAAAGGCUCACCAAGCCGACGAUCUGUAGCUGGUCUGAGAGGACGACCAGCCACACUGGGACUGAGACACGGCCCAGACUCCUACGGGAGGCAGCAGUGGGGAAUUUUGGACGAAUGGGCGCAAGCCUGAUCCAGCAAUGCCGCGUGCAGGAUGAA
RNAcentral lists this ribosomal RNA (382 nucleotides) under uncultured bacterium. Its description in RNAcentral is "bacterial SSU rRNA". It matches the Rfam family "Bacterial small subunit ribosomal RNA", at positions 30 to 412 of the family's 1533-position model. The record is from RNAcentral.